RNAcentral lists this Y RNA (113 nucleotides) under Prolemur simus (greater bamboo lemur). RNAcentral's name for it is "Y RNA (ENSPSMG00000024976.1)". It matches the Rfam family "Y RNA". Rfam says of the family: Y RNAs are components of the Ro ribonucleoprotein particle (Ro RNP), in association with Ro60 and La proteins. The record is from Rfam by way of RNAcentral. Lineage: Eukaryota; Metazoa; Chordata; Mammalia; Primates; Lemuridae.
GGCUGGUCCGAAGGUAGUGAGUUAUCUCAUUUGAUUGUUAACAGUCAGUUACAGAUUGAACUCCUUGUUCUACUACUUUCCCCUUCCUCACUACUGCACUUGACUAGUCUUAA